Molecule: non-coding RNA, 739 nt
Filed under: Pseudotephritis millepunctata
Lineage: Eukaryota; Metazoa; Arthropoda; Insecta; Diptera; Ulidiidae
Source: RNAcentral
ACGUAAAUUUUUGUAUGAAUUUUUACUUAUUUUAAUAAUGAGUGAAUUUUAUUAUAACCACAGUAAUUAGUAUUAUUAAUUAAAGAAAUUUAGAAAUAGUAAUAUUAUUAAGUAUUGGCUAAAUUUGUGCCAGCAGCCGCGGUUAUACUAAUGAUGCAAACAAAUUAUUUUCGGUAUGAGUUAAAUUUUUUUUGUUGAGAUGAAUUUUAAUUUAUUAGGUGAAAUUUUAAAUUAAUAUAUUCUUUUGUUAAAAAAAUUGAGGCUUGUAAAUUUUAAUUAAAAACUAGGAUUAGAUACCCUAUUAUUUAAAAUGUAAAGUUUUAAACCAAGGUAGUAUUAGUUAUGUUCUUGAAACUUAAAAAAUUUGGCGGUAUCUUAGUCUAUUCAGAGGAACCUGUUCUUUAAUCGAUAAUCCACGAUGGACCUUACUUGAAUUUGUUUUCAGUUUAUAUACCGUCGUUAUCAGAAUAUUUUAUUAGAAUAAUAAUUUUCUAGAUUUUUUAUAAAAAUUUAUAUCAGAUCAAGGUGUAGCUUAUAUUUAAGUAGUAAUGGGUUACAAUAAAUUUAUUUAAACGGAGUUAAAUUUGAAAUGUUUUAUGAAGGUGGAUUUGAUAGUAAAAUUAUAAAGAUUAAUAAUUUGAUUUUAGCUCUAAGAUAUGCACACAUCGCCCGUCGCUCUUAUUAUUAAGGUAAGAUAAGUCGUAACAUAGUAGAUGUACUGGAAAGUGUAUCUAGAAUG